CGGGGCGUAGCGCAGUUUGGUAGCGUGCUUGAAUGGGGUUCAAGAGGUCCGCGGUUCAAAUCCGCGCGCCCCGACCA
RNAcentral lists this transfer RNA (77 nucleotides) under Anaerolineae bacterium. Its description in RNAcentral is "tRNA-Pro". It matches the Rfam family "tRNA". Rfam says of the family: Transfer RNA (tRNA) molecules are approximately 80 nucleotides in length. Their secondary structure includes four short double-helical elements and three loops (D, anti-codon, and T loops). Lineage: Bacteria; Bacillati; Chloroflexota; Anaerolineae. The record is from RNAcentral.